ACGGGAGGCAGCAGUAGGGAAUAUUGCACAAUGGGGGGAACCCUGAUGCAGCAACGCCACGUGUGGGAAGAAGCAUUUCGGUGUGUAAACCACUGUCGUGAGGGAAUAAGGCUGGAGUUGUCCAGUUGAAUGUACCUCGAAAGGAAGCACCGGCAAACUUCGUGCCAGCAGCCGCGGUAAUACGAGGUGUGCAAGCGUUGUUCGGAAUCACUGGGCGUAAAGGGAGCGCAGGCGGAGAAGCAAGCGGUCUGUACAAUACCGGGGCCCAACCCCGGACCUGCAGACCGGACUGCUCCUCUUGGUUAGCUCAGGGGCUGGCGGAAUUCCUGGUGUAGCGGUGGAAUGCGUAGAGAUCAGGAAGAACACCGAUGGCGAAGGCAGCCAGCUGGGGGCUUAUCGACGCUCAUGCUCGAAAGUGCGGGUAGCAAACAGGAUUAGAUACCCUGGUC
This 449-nucleotide ribosomal RNA is filed under the name uncultured Fibrobacter sp. RNAcentral's name for it is "partial 16S ribosomal RNA". It matches the Rfam family "Bacterial small subunit ribosomal RNA", at positions 341 to 792 of the family's 1533-position model. The record is from RNAcentral. Lineage: Bacteria; Pseudomonadati; Fibrobacterota; Fibrobacteria; Fibrobacterales; Fibrobacteraceae.